UGAUUGGUGCUUGCAUCAUGAUUUACAUUUGAGUGAGUGGCGAACUGGUGAGUAACACGUGGGAAACCUGCCCAGAAGCGGGGGAUAACACCUGGAAACAGAUGCUAAUACCGCAUAACAACUUGGACCGCAUGGUCCGAGCUUGAAAGAUGGCUUCGGCUAUCACUUUUGGAUGGUCCCGCGGCGUAUUAGCUAGAUGGUGGGGUAACGGCUCACCAUGGCAAUGAUACGUAGCCGACCUGAGAGGGUAAUCGGCCACAUUGGGACUGAGACACGGCCCAAACUCCUACGGGAGGCAGCAGUAGGGAAUCUUCCACAAUGGACGAAAGUCUGAUGGAGCAACGCCGCGUGAGUGAAGAAGGGUUUCGGCUCGUAAAACUCUGUUGUUAAAGAAGAACAUAUCUGAGAGUAACUGUUCAGGUAUUGACGGUAUUUAACCAGAAAGCCACGGCUAACUACGUGCCAGCAGCCGCGGUAAUACGUAGGUGGCAAGCGUUGUCCGGAUUUAUUGGGCGUAAAGCGAGCGCAGGCGGUUUUUUAAGUCUGAUGUGAAAGCCUUCGGCUCAACCGAAGAAGUGCAUCGGAAACUGGGAAACUUGAGUGCAGAAGAGGACAGUGGAACUCCAUGUGUAGCGGUGAAAUGCGUAGAUAUAUGGAAGAACACCAGUGGCGAAGGCGGCUGUCUGGUCUGUAACUGACGCUGAGGCUCGAAAGUAUGGGUAGCAAACAGGAUUAGAUACCCUGGUAGUCCAUACCGUAAACGAUGAAUGCUAAGUGUUGGAGGGUUUCCGCCCUUCAGUGCUGCAGCUAACGCAUUAAGCAUUCCGCCUGGGGAGUACGGCCGCAAGGCUGAAACUCAAAGGAAUUUGACGGGGGCCCGCACAAGCGGUGGAGCAUGUGGUUUAAUUCGAAGCUACGCGAAGAACCUUACAAGG
RNAcentral lists this ribosomal RNA (935 nucleotides) under Lactiplantibacillus plantarum. RNAcentral's name for it is "bacterial SSU rRNA". It matches the Rfam family "Bacterial small subunit ribosomal RNA", at positions 70 to 978 of the family's 1533-position model. Lineage: Bacteria; Bacillati; Bacillota; Bacilli; Lactobacillales; Lactobacillaceae. The record is from RNAcentral.